RNAcentral lists this ribosomal RNA (253 nucleotides) under uncultured bacterium. RNAcentral's name for it is "partial 16S ribosomal RNA". It matches the Rfam family "Bacterial small subunit ribosomal RNA", at positions 524 to 776 of the family's 1533-position model. The record is from RNAcentral.
UACGUAGGGGGCAAGCGUUGUCCGGAUUUAUUGGGCGUAAAGAGCGUGUAGGCGGCUAGGUAGGUCCGUUGUGAAAACUCGAGGCUCAACCUCGAGACGCCGGUGGAAACCAUCUAGCUAGAGUCCGGAAGAGGAGAGUGGAAUUCCGGGUGUAGUGGUGGAAUGCGUAGAGCUCCGGAGGAACACCAGUGGCGAAGGCGGCCGCCUGGGCCAGUCCUGACGCUGAGCCGCGAAAGCGUGGGGAGCGAUCCGG